RNAcentral lists this long non-coding RNA (1906 nucleotides) under Gadus morhua (Atlantic cod). Its description in RNAcentral is "lncRNA (ENSGMOG00000025139.1)". Lineage: Eukaryota; Metazoa; Chordata; Actinopteri; Gadiformes; Gadidae. The record is from RNAcentral.
AUGGCGAGAGCCCUGAAAUACAGCUGGACAGCAGCGGUCUACAUCACUGCCCCUUCUGCAGAUACAAAGGGUCAAAAUGUGAUAUCGACCAUCACAUUAAAUGCCAUGCCUCGGUUAAAUACAGAGGUACAUUUUCUUAUUUUUUUAUUAUUAUUAUUUAUAUUAUUAUUGUUAUUAUAUAUUUGUAUGUAUGUAAUGUAUGCUGUUUACUCACCAAGGUCUGCAGAGGAGCUUUCAGGAAGCAGGAAGAGAAGACGGGAGGAAAAAAAGCUACAGGAAGAUUAUGUUGUCCUGAAGGACACAAUUCAGGCAGCAGCAUGGUGCCAGUUACAGUCCUUCAAGGACAGCGUUUCUCUCCCAGAGGUCAUUGGGAUGGAAGGUUGGGAGCAGAUGGCAGCAUCAACACAGCGCAAAUCCCAUGACGGCGGGGAUGAGGAAGAAACGUGGAAACCAUUCCAAUUCUCAUUCAGAUUACAUACUGACUAUGAACUGUUCUGUGUGGAGAUGAUGGACAGGAGAAACCUGAAGGUGUUUGCCUCUUUUGAGUCAAACACCUCUCCCCCUCCCCGUCCCCCUCCCCGUGACGCCUGCGCCACACGACUCCAAUGUAGUCUGAUGAUGCAGCAUAAUGGCGGCGCUUGGCAGCUAUGGCGGCGGUGACGGCGAUGUCGGGCGACAGAGCGUGAAGCAAGAGUGGCAUCCACCUCACUGAGGAAGGCGUCAGUGUGUUCCCCCUUUGUUGUUUGACUUUGUUUGUUCUACUCUUUAUUGAUUUAUCUUUUAUGUUAAUAGUUUACAAUCUAUUUUUUGUAGUUGUUAUUUUUUAAUUGUUUUGUUGAAUAAAAAGACAGUUGUUAGUGCUCCUGUGAUUGGUGUAACUUAAUGUGCUUCACACAUGUAGCUUUUCAUUAUGUCUAUUGAGGUACAUUUUUUGCCCUUAGAUGUGGUCACUUCGUUAUUCCUCACAUUACAUCUGUUAAGGUCAUACCUUUGGGUCCCAGUCUUCAUAGUUCCCCAAAUCUUAUUUUGGCUCUUACUGGGCCUGUAACUCACAGACAGACGGGUACAGGAGUUCGGACACGUUGCAUUGUUUACAGGCAAGGGUGGAUUACCGCACGGGCACACCGGGCACAUGCCCAGGGGCCCAAGGGCGGCCCUAAGCCAGAGCUUCUGUGUGAAGUCGCUGUUAGUAACUUUUAAUGUUGCAUUGUCAAAGCAAUCAGUAGAGAAAUACAAAAAUUCAAGCGAAAACGGCAAUAGUAGGGCUAUUAAUACUGAGUAAAAAAAAAAAAAAGAUCACUAGGGGGCACUGUUUCACUUAGUGAAUUUGAGACAGGUCACGAACAAGGCACUGUGAUUUAAACAUUGAGCAACGGCGAACGGUAGUAACGUGAACUCUUAAGUGGAACCUUAAUAGGUCCAUGAGUGGAACAGUUAAGCGAAAAAAAAAUAAACAAGAGAAUAUGUAUUUGCAAGUCGUUUAGGCUAUGCUUAACUUUAUAAUAGUUCCAUGGUACGCAGCAAGAAAGAUACCAAGUCACAAUACUCCCGUACCAUCUGUUUGUAUAGUUUAAUUAACAGCAUGGGCUCCCGCUAGCUUAACAUAGUAUUACCGUUUCUUGCAUUAACAAGAGCAGCAGAAAUCUGCUCAAUCGUCAGUGGUCGGAGUGCCCGCCCCCUCCAUGUGGACUGAGUGCCCGCCCCCUCCAUGUGGGCGGAGGGCCGGCCCCCUCCAUGUGGACUGAGUGCCCGCCCCCUCCAUGUGGGCUCCGUCUGCGGGCUGCAGUCAGGGGUACUUGGAUUCAUCCGGCUUAAUCAACACAAUUGCACUAUAUUACGGGUGUAGUAUGUUGAGGACAGUAUAGGACAGCUUAUCGACAAAGAAUCACACCGAAAUUAGUUGUUG